CUAUAAUGUCAGGGAUACAGUUUUAUAUUCCUAACACUAUAGUGUUCCAUUACAUUUAGUGAAGAACUAAUAAAUUGACUCUAAACAGGGUGAAAUGUAAGGUAAAAUAGGACAUCUGCCAUUUACAGUAUAAUAAAUCAAGCCAUUCUACUUGUGUUUCCUGCCUCUAAAUGUUUACAGUUGUCAUUUAACCCUGAGUGAAAGCAGUUCUGUAUGCCAAGGUGUGUAGGGGGUCCCUUUAUGUCCG
Non-coding RNA from Pelobates cultripes (western spadefoot toad), 247 nucleotides. Lineage: Eukaryota; Metazoa; Chordata; Amphibia; Anura; Pelobatidae. The record is from the annotation of a GenBank genome assembly.